RNAcentral lists this ribosomal RNA (893 nucleotides) under uncultured archaeon. Its description in RNAcentral is "bacterial SSU rRNA". It matches the Rfam family "Archaeal small subunit ribosomal RNA", at positions 1 to 879 of the family's 1478-position model. The record is from RNAcentral.
UUCUCUGGUUGAUCCUGCCAGACCCGACUGCUAUCCGGGUAGGACUAAGCCAUGCAAGUUGAAUGGAAUACCUAAAUUUUCCAUGGCGUACCACUCAGUAACACGUGAUCAACUUACCCUAAAGCGGUGUAUAACCUCGGGAAACUGAGGAUAAUGCACCAUAAUUGAAACUGCCUGGAAUGGUUUUUCAAUGAAAGAGUAAUCUCAAUGGAGAUUAUUUCACCUUAGGAUAGGAUCGCGCCCGAUUAUGGCUGUUGGUGAGGUAGCGGCUCACCAAACCUAUUAUCGGUAAGGGCCGUGAGAGCGGUAGCCCUGAGUUGGGUACUGAGACAAUGACCCAGGUCUUACGAGACGCAGCAGGCGCGAAAUCUUGACAAUACACGAAAGUGUGAUCAGGUUACCCGGAGUGCUACAAAGUAGCUGUGGCAAGUGAGUUUAAUUCCUUGCUAGGAAGGAGAGGGCAAGGCUGGUGCCAGCCGCCGCGGUAAAACCAGCUCUUCAAGUGGUCGGGGCUAUUAUUGGGCUUAAAGUGUCCGUAGCCGGUAUAGUAAGUUCCUGGUUAAAUCGGAUAGCUUAACUAUCUGUUGGCUAGGAAUACUGCUAUACUAGGGGGCGGGAGAGGUCUGAGGUACUCCAGGGGUAGGGGUGAAAUCCUAUAAUCCUUGGGGGACCACCAGUGGCGAAGGCGUCAGACUGGAACGCGCUCGACGGUGAGGGACGAAAGCCAGGGGAGCGAACCGGAUUAGAUACCCGGGUAGUCCUGGCUGUAAACGAUGCGUGCUAGGUGUUGGUAUGGCCUUGAGCCGUAUCAGUGCCGUAGGGAAACCGAUAAGCGCGCCGCCUGGGGAGUACGGUCGCAAGACUGAAACUUAAAGGAAUUGGCGGGCCUGCAC